UAGGGAAUCUUCGGCAAUGGACGGAAGUCUGACCGAGCAACGCCGCGUGAGUGAAGAAGGUUUUCGGAUCGUAAAGCUCUGUUGUAAGAGAAGAACGAGUGUGAGAGUGGAAAGUUCACACUGUGACGGUAUCUUACCAGAAAGGGAUGGCUAACUACGUGCCAGCAGCCGCGGUAAUACGUAGGUCCCGAGCGUUAUCCGGAUUUAUUGGGCGUAAAGCGAGCGCAGGCGGUUAGAUAAGUCUGAAGUUAAAGGCUGUGGCUUAACCAUAGUACGCUUUGGAAACUGUUUAACUUGAGUGCAAGAGGGGAGAGUGGAAUUCCAUGUGUAGCGGUGAAAUGCGUAGAUAUAUGGAGGAACACCGGUGGCGAAAGCGGCUCUCUGGCUUGUAACUGACGCUGAGGCUCGAAAGCGUGGGGAGCAAACAGGAUUAGAUACCCUGGUAGUCCACGCCGUAACGGUGAGUGCUAGGUGUUAGACCCUUUCCGGGGUUUAGUGCCGCAGCUAACGCAUUAAGCACUCCGCCUGGGGAGUACGACCGCAAGGUUG
Molecule: ribosomal RNA, 549 nt
Filed under: uncultured bacterium
Lineage: Bacteria
Description: bacterial SSU rRNA
Rfam family: Bacterial small subunit ribosomal RNA
Source: RNAcentral